Molecule: ribosomal RNA, 301 nt
Filed under: uncultured bacterium
Lineage: Bacteria
Description: partial 16S ribosomal RNA
Rfam family: Bacterial small subunit ribosomal RNA
Source: RNAcentral
CAGCCGCCACGGUAAUACGAAGGGUGCAAGCGUUAAUCGGAAUUACUGGGCGUAAAGCGUGCGUAGGCGGUGAGUUAAGUCUGCUGUGAAAUCCCCGGGCUCAACCUGGGAAUGGCAGUGGAUACUGGCUCGCUAGAGUGUGUCAGAGGAUGGUGGAAUUCCCGGUGUAGCGGUGAAAUGCGUAGAGAUCGGGAGGAACAUCAGUGGCGAAGGCGGCCAUCUGGGACAACACUGACGCUGAGGCACGAAAGCGUGGGGAGCAAACAGGAUUAGAUACCCGCGUAGUCCCUGUCUCUUAUAA